CCGGCGCACGGGUGAGUAACACGUAUCCAACCUGCCGUCUACUCUUGGACAGCCUUCUGAAAGGAAGAUUAAUACAAGAUGGCAUCAUGAGUCCGCAUGUUCACAUGAUAAAGGUAUUCCGGUAGACGAUGGGGAUGCGUUCCAUUAGAUAGUAGGCGGGGUAACGGCCCACCUAGUCUUCGAUGGAUAGGGGUUCUGAGAGGAAGGUCCCCCACAUUGGAACUGAGACACGGUCCAAACUCCUACGGGAGGCAGCAUG
RNAcentral lists this ribosomal RNA (259 nucleotides) under uncultured bacterium. RNAcentral's name for it is "partial 16S ribosomal RNA". It matches the Rfam family "Bacterial small subunit ribosomal RNA", at positions 95 to 353 of the family's 1533-position model. The record is from RNAcentral.